GGUCUGGUGGUCUAGUGGUAUGAUUCCUCUUUCGGGUAGAGGAGGUCCCGGGUUCAAUCCCCGGCCAGACCC
This is a non-coding RNA of Metarhizium acridum CQMa 102, 72 nucleotides long. The record is from the annotation of a RefSeq genome assembly. Lineage: Eukaryota; Fungi; Ascomycota; Sordariomycetes; Hypocreales; Clavicipitaceae.